CCUUGACAUACUAAGAACUUUCCAGAGAUGGAUUGGUGCCUUCGGGAACUUAGAUACAGGUGCUGCAUGGCUGUCGUCAGCUCGUGUCGUGAGAUGUUGGGUUAAGUCCCGCAACGAGCGCAACCCUUUUCCUUAUUUGCCAGCGGGUCAUGCCGGGAACUUUAAGGAUACUGCCAGUGACAAACUGGAGGAAGGCGGGGACGACGUCAAGUCAUCAUGGCCCUUACGGCCAGGGCUACACACGUGCUACAAUGGUCGGUACAAAGGGUUGCUACCUCGCGAGAGGAUGCUAAUCUCAAAAAGCCGAUCGCAGUCCGGAUCGCAGUCUGCAACUCGACUGCGUGAAGUCGGAAUCGCUAGUAAUCGCGGAUCAGAAUGCCGCGGUGAAUACGUUCCCGGGCCUUGUACACACCGCCCGUCACACCAUGGGAGUUUGUUGCACCAGAAGUAGGUAGUCUAACCGCAAGAAGGACGCUUACCACGGUGUGGCCGAUGACUGGGGUGAAGUCGUAACAAGGUAAGCGUAGAUGA
This 531-nucleotide ribosomal RNA is filed under the name uncultured bacterium. Its description in RNAcentral is "bacterial SSU rRNA". It matches the Rfam family "Bacterial small subunit ribosomal RNA", at positions 979 to 1509 of the family's 1533-position model. The record is from RNAcentral.